AAGCGUUUAUGACCAGACUUGGGCUUGGUUAAUCAUCUGGGGUUCUCCCCAGUGCACUUUUCCAGUCCAGGCCAGCAUCAGUUUUCCCCGGGGGAUAAAGGCGGCGGGAAUGUGGCUCUCUUCGGGGAGUGUUAUAGCCC
RNAcentral lists this ribosomal RNA (140 nucleotides) under Fusarium oxysporum. RNAcentral describes it as "partial large subunit ribosomal RNA". The record is from RNAcentral. Lineage: Eukaryota; Fungi; Ascomycota; Sordariomycetes; Hypocreales; Nectriaceae.